GAAAAGGGGCGCCUCCUUCUCCCAACCUCUCUCUCUCUAUCUUCUCUCUGCCGGCGGUCUUGGCGUCGCCGGUGAGCGACGCUGGCCGCCGGUCGCGUCCCUCCUCUCUCCCUCGGUCUCUCUCUCUCCCUCGGUCUCUCUCUGUUUCUCGACCGACGGAGCUCGGCUACCUCCGGAGAGGCCCGUCACUCGAUCUCUGCCGCCUCGUCCAUUUUCAAUGUCGGGGUGCGGUCGGCUCGCCGGUGUGCGCGAGACCAGCCGCCGUUGACUUGCGGGCGUUGGGCAGUGGCGGAAGUGGCGAAGAACAAAGCUGAGGGGCAGCAGCGGUGGCUGCCACCGUGUGACAGCAGCGGCGUCGGCGUGUGCGGCUGCCAAACGGAGCAGCUGUGUGCGUGUGGCUGUCGAGAGUGCAGCAAGGUGUGCGUGGCUGCCUUGUGACUGCAGCAGCGGCUGCCCGGCAGAGGCAGCAGCGGCAUCGUCCGGCCGAGGCAUCGGCUUUAUUAAUUCUAAGCUAUACUCUCAUCUUGAGGUAUCGGGAUUCAAGGCGUGACUGUUGAGCAAGAUCCGAAGGGCAUGGAGAGUAUUUUAUUUUUAAAUAAAUCUUUACUUAAACGUUGAACUCGUGUACGGACUUUUAUUUGAAACUCGGUCUUCACAAACGGACUUUUAUU
Salvia hispanica is the source of this 671-nucleotide long non-coding RNA. RefSeq lists it as uncharacterized. Lineage: Eukaryota; Viridiplantae; Streptophyta; Magnoliopsida; Lamiales; Lamiaceae. The record is from RefSeq and is a predicted model, not a curated record.